GUAAUCUUUCCACCUGAUUCCCCAGGCACAAAUACUCAAAACUUGAGGGAUGAGGCUCAGAACCACUAAUCUAGAGUAUGUUCCUAACAUUUCCUACAACCACUACGGAGAGGCUAUACUUACUGGUGAAUCCAUGAUCUCUAUUGCAAAAGUGGAUUGGCUGUACACAGAAGUUUCCAAACAUUUGCUACUUUCAGACCCUCCAACAUGAUCACAUCCACCAGGUGACUGCAAUCAUAAAUGAUGGCGACGUCUAGGAGCAGAGCAUUUUGUACCUUGUGGAAGGAAUCACGAUGGAAGGUUUGCACUUGUUGCCAGUUAAUAUUUGUCAGUAAAAUUACAUUUACAGCAAUCUGCUCUUGAGGAGCUCACAUGUGCUCAGAAAAGGAACCAAGGGCCUUCAUAGUGGAUUGGACUGCAUUGCUGCCUUGGGCCCCCUCACAACCUGAUCCUUAGCAGCAGACUAGGCUGCUUUCACCGCGUUGUACUAAGUGAUACAGUACCAUGACCCUUUCACAAGGCUGUAGCUAUGUGUGUGCGAGGUAUUGUGCUGCAUAGGCCAUAGGCCCAGUGGUUGACAGUAUAGCUGGCUUGCAAUGUGUCUGGAACAGCCUGAGAUCUGCCCGGGUAUGUCCUCACCAUCUUCAUGACAUCAUAACCUCACAUGUUUGGGGGGAGCGUCAGGUCUGGCCCAUAACGUUCCCUUAUUCAGCAACGCACUUGCAUGAUAUAUAACAUCACAGUUUCAGCUCCAUUAGCAAUAAUGAUAACUUGAUCUUUUCCGUGUGUGUAUACAAACAGCAUGAAACAAAUCUAUGGCUGACUCUAUAUUGAGGAAUGAGUGUCUGGUUUCUGGAUAUUGUUGCAUUUUUGUCAGAAUAAGCAGAAUGAGUGUCUUUUUAUGUGGGAAACUCGUGUCAUUUUUAUCAUGCCAUUGUAUGUGAAUAAAGAAUUUCCUAACACGUCCACAGAUUAACACCACAACACUGACCGGACUGAGAAAUCUCGCAGCUGCCUUUCAUUAGCAGUAACCGCAAUGGAAUGAAAAACACAAAAACACAUUUAGCCUCACAUUUUAAUGCGAAAAAGUAGUUUGUGUUAUAAUUGACAGAGGGAUCCAUUUAGGAAACAGUCAAUUUUAAAUGUUUCUAAAAGAUGAUAGAAAACAACUGAUUUGAAAUGAAAAGGGGAACGUGUCCUUUAAUUGGUACCUGCCUUAGUAUUAUUUAAAAACAGACAUGUAGAAUAGGACCAUUCAGAGAUCUUUCUAUGGUGAAACUCCUUCUGUUUUUGGUCAAUUACCAAUAGACAACCGAUUUAUGAACGUUGUCUUGUGUGCUUGGAUGGAAAUAAGAUCUCAACUUGUAUUCUCAUUAUCAUGUCCUCCCAAAAUCACUCUUCUCAUGUCGCAAACCCUACCAACUCUGUGACCAAAUGACACAACACAGUAGUGCUGUCAAUUUAUUUGAUAACAAAUACAAGUGUACGGUGUAUUUUAUAUAAGGCGUCUAUUCAAUUAUUGUGCUUAACAUUAACUAUACCCUUUAAGCUAGCUUAUCAACUAAAAAUAACGACACGGACACAACUGCGUUGGAUUAAAUGGUCAUUGAAUUUAUUAAUUGG
Pseudophryne corroboree (corroboree frog) is the source of this 1623-nucleotide long non-coding RNA. RefSeq lists it as uncharacterized. The transcript is spliced from 3 exons. The record is from RefSeq and is a predicted model, not a curated record. Lineage: Eukaryota; Metazoa; Chordata; Amphibia; Anura; Myobatrachidae.